GCGGACGUGGUGUAUGGUGCACUGCUGCAUUGCAUGGAGGGGAACUACCAUGAUCUCUAUAUCUGCGGUCGGACGGGGUUCGACUCCCCGCGUCCGUC
Mycena rosella is the source of this 98-nucleotide non-coding RNA. Lineage: Eukaryota; Fungi; Basidiomycota; Agaricomycetes; Agaricales; Mycenaceae. The record is from the annotation of a GenBank genome assembly.